UAGGUCUGAGGUAGUGCUAAUGUGUGGCUCUUGAUCUCUCUGGGGCACCCAUAGUGACAUAAGCAAAUGAGCUAUUGCGAGAAUAUAUGGGUAGUGUCAAGCGCCAAGGCAGGUCACGGUAACCAUUAUUCAUUGGCCUAGGGGGUGGUCCAGAUUUUUAAACAAACAACAAAUAGAUUGACUCCAAUGGAGAGAGAAAAAUGGAUUUUGCCCUUGAUCAGAAAGAUAGUGAAAACUGAAGCUCCAGGAAGGGAGAGAGAAGAAGGGAAGGAGACAAUAUGGAUCAUAUGACUUUGGAAAACUUAUGUGGAAAAAAAAAGGACAUGAAAAUCCAGCCCUUUAUUAAAAGGACUCUGUGAUAAGACAGACCAACUUUAAUUGUACUAGGUUCAAACUGUUCCAGAACACCUAUCUGGGUGAGAAAGGAGAAGGACAACAGAAGAGAGAAAAGAGGUUUUGUUUUUUAAAAUGGGGCUUGGACAAAUAUUUUAUUCCACUACAUUUAGUGGUAGCACACAUCCCAGCAAA
Monodelphis domestica (gray short-tailed opossum) is the source of this 528-nucleotide long non-coding RNA. RefSeq lists it as uncharacterized. Lineage: Eukaryota; Metazoa; Chordata; Mammalia; Didelphimorphia; Didelphidae. The record is from RefSeq and is a predicted model, not a curated record.